This 141-nucleotide small nuclear RNA is filed under the name Orchesella cincta. RNAcentral's name for it is "U4 spliceosomal RNA". It matches the Rfam family "U4 spliceosomal RNA". From Rfam's summary of the family: U4 small nuclear RNA (U4 snRNA) is a component of the major U2-dependent spliceosome. The structure of U4 snRNA from yeast and human has been reported. U4 snRNA presents a k-turn RNA motif in the 5p-SL related to recognition of Snu13 protein. The record is from Rfam by way of RNAcentral. Lineage: Eukaryota; Metazoa; Arthropoda; Collembola; Entomobryomorpha; Orchesellidae.
AACUUUGCGCACGGGCAUGAUCGUAGCUGAGGAAGGUUUAUCCUGAUGGCGCGAUUAUUGCUAGUUGAAAACUUUACCCAAUACCCCGCUGUGUUGAGGUGAAAUACCCUCGACAUUGCAAUUUUUGUCGGCCGUAAGGCC